AGAUGCGAUCAUACCAGCACUAAUGCACCGGAUUCCAUCAGAACUCCGCAGUUAAGGGUGCUUGGGCAAGAGUUGUACUAGGAUGGAUUACCUCCCGGAAAGUCCUCAUGUUGCAUCCC
Molecule: ribosomal RNA, 119 nt
Organism: Arabidopsis thaliana (thale cress)
Lineage: Eukaryota; Viridiplantae; Streptophyta; Magnoliopsida; Brassicales; Brassicaceae
Source: Rfam